RNAcentral lists this long non-coding RNA (305 nucleotides) under Salvia miltiorrhiza (redroot sage). RNAcentral's name for it is "long non-coding RNA (SMIL_LNC001280)". The record is from RNAcentral. Lineage: Eukaryota; Viridiplantae; Streptophyta; Magnoliopsida; Lamiales; Lamiaceae.
UAGCAUACACGAGCUUUACUCAUUUCUCAGCCAUUCAUUGUUGAGUAUAUACAUAACCUUUUCUUAAACAAGAUAGUAUUACCCUGAGUUCCUUGGUAAUUAUCGAUCCCUUCUAUCAGAUUCCUUACCCGUAAUUUUAUAUUUUCAUGUUCCCUCUGUACUAUGACAAUUCUGGUUAUCAAACCAGGAGUCACUGUUAACAUUGCAAUGACAGCUGAUAUUGUUUGUGGUGGUAGAACCACUUCUAAAUUCAAUCUUUUCAAAUCCUCGAUGAAUUUUUCUUUAUGGGUAAGGAGAAAUCCUUA